RNAcentral lists this RNase P RNA (416 nucleotides) under Caballeronia sp. LZ016. RNAcentral describes it as "RNase P RNA component class A". It matches the Rfam family "Bacterial RNase P class A". Rfam says of the family: Ribonuclease P (RNase P) is a ubiquitous endoribonuclease, found in archaea, bacteria and eukarya as well as chloroplasts and mitochondria. Its best characterised activity is the generation of mature 5'-ends of tRNAs by cleaving the 5'-leader elements of precursor-tRNAs. The record is from RNAcentral. Lineage: Bacteria; Pseudomonadati; Pseudomonadota; Betaproteobacteria; Burkholderiales; Burkholderiaceae. RNAcentral also lists the same sequence under 1 other name.
AAAGCAGGCCAGGCAGCCGCGGCUUCGGCGCUUUCGGGCGUCGGGGGCGAGGAAAGUCCGGACUCCACAGGGCAGGGUGAUGGCUAACGGCCAUCCGUGGCAACACGCGGAACAGGGCAACAGAAAGCAAACCGCCGAUGGCUUCGGGCGCGAGUCCGAAGAUCAGGUAAGGGUGAAACGGUGCGGUAAGAGCGCACCGCGGACGUCGCGAGACGCUCCGGCACGGUAACCUCCACCCGGAGCAAUUCCAAAUAGGCAGGCGCGCAUCUUCGCGAUGCAGGACGGGGCCCCCGUUUCGUCUGCGGGUAGGAAGCUUGAGCGCGUCAGCAAUGGCGCGCCUAGAGGAAUGGCUGCCACGCGCGAUCGUCUUUCGGGCGGCGCGUGCACAGAAUCCGGCUUAUCGGCCCGCUUUGUCG